UGGGGAAUUUUGGACAAUGGGCGAAAGCCUGAUCCAGCAAUGCCGCGUGUGUGAAGAAGGCCUUCGGGUUGUAAAGCACUUUUGUCCGGAAAGAAAUCCUUGGCUCUAAUACAGUCGGGGGAUGACGGUACCGGAAGAAUAAGCACCGGCUAACUACGUGCCAGCAGCCGCGGUAAUACGUAGGGUGCAAGCGUUAAUCGGAAUUACUGGGCGUAAAGCGUGCGCAGGCGGUUUGCUAAGACCGAUGUGAAAUCCCCGGGCUCAACCUGGGAACUGCAUUGGUGACUGGCAGGCUAGAGUAUGGCAGAGGGAGGUAGAAUUCCACGUGUAGCAGUGAAAUGCGUAGAGAUGUGGAGGAAUACCGAUGGCGAAGGCAGCCCCCUGGGCCAAUACUGACGCUCAUGCACGAAAGCGUGGGGAGCAAACAGGAUUAGAUACCCUGGUAGUCCACGCCCUAAACGAUGUCAACUAGUUGUUGGGGACUUCAUUUUCCUUAGUAACGUAGCUAACGCGUGAAGUUGACCGCCUGGGGAGUACGGUCGC
Molecule: ribosomal RNA, 543 nt
Filed under: uncultured bacterium
Lineage: Bacteria
Description: partial 16S ribosomal RNA
Rfam family: Bacterial small subunit ribosomal RNA
Source: RNAcentral